This 429-nucleotide ribosomal RNA is filed under the name Gemmatimonadota bacterium. Its description in RNAcentral is "Gemmatimonadetes bacterium partial 16S ribosomal RNA". It matches the Rfam family "Bacterial small subunit ribosomal RNA", at positions 355 to 776 of the family's 1533-position model. Lineage: Bacteria; Pseudomonadati; Gemmatimonadota. The record is from RNAcentral.
UAGGGAAUCUUCGGCAAUGGACGAAAGUCUGACCGAGCAACGCCGCGUGAGUGAAGAAGGUUUUCGGAUCGUAAAACUCUGUUGUUAGAGAAGAACAAGGACGUUAGUAACUGAACGUCCCCUGACGGUAUCUAACCAGAAAGCCACGGCUAACUACGUGCCAGCAGCCGCGGUAAUACGUAGGUGGCAAGCGUUGUCCGGAUUUAUUGGGCGUAAAGCGAGCGCAGGCGGUUUCUUAAGUCUGAUGUGAAAGCCCCCGGCUCAACCGGGGAGGGUCAUUGGAAACUGGGAGACUUGAGUGCAGAAGAGGAGAAUGGAAUUCCAUGUGUAGCGGUGAAAUGCGUAGAUAUAUGGAGGAACACCAGUGGCGAAGGCGGCUCUCUGGUCUGUAACUGACGCUGAGGCUCGAAAGCGUGGGGAGCAAACAGG